Molecule: ribosomal RNA, 566 nt
Filed under: uncultured bacterium
Lineage: Bacteria
Description: bacterial SSU rRNA
Rfam family: Bacterial small subunit ribosomal RNA
Source: RNAcentral
CGAUGAACACUAGUCGUCGGGAUGCUAGUCAUCUCGGUGAUGCACUUAACAGAUUAAGUGUUCCGCCUGGGGAGUACGGUCGCAAGAUUAAAACUCAAAGGAAUAGACGGGGACCCGCACAAGUGGUGGAGCAUGUGGUUUAAUUCGAAGAUACGCGAAGAACCUUACCUAGCCUUGACAUUGAUUGAACACACUAGAGAUAGAGUGGUGCCCUUCGGGGAACAUGAAAACAGGUGCUGCACGGCUGUCGUCAGCUCGUGUCGUGAGAUGUUGGGUUAAGUCCCGCAACGAGCGCAACCCUCGUCCUUAGUUGCUAGCAGUUCGGCUGAGCACUCUAAGGAGACUGCCUUCGUAAGGAGGAGGAAGGUGAGGACGACGUCAAGUCAUCAUGGCCCUUAUGGCUAGGGCUACACACGUGCUACAAUGGGGCGUACAGAGUGUUGCGAUACCGCGAGGUGGAGCUAAUCACUUAAAGCGUCUCUCAGUUCGGAUUGGAGUCUGCAACUCGACUCCAUGAAGCUGGAAUCACUAGUAAUCGUAGAUCAGCAAUGCUACGGUGAAUACGU